RNAcentral lists this non-coding RNA (45 nucleotides) under Trichobilharzia regenti. Lineage: Eukaryota; Metazoa; Platyhelminthes; Trematoda; Strigeidida; Schistosomatidae. The record is from RNAcentral.
AUCAAGAUGACGAGUGCCAAAUAGGACGAAAUGCGCAUCCUAGAU